This 27-nucleotide non-coding RNA is filed under the name Homo sapiens (human). The record is from RNAcentral. Lineage: Eukaryota; Metazoa; Chordata; Mammalia; Primates; Hominidae.
CAGCCAAAUAACUUCAUGAUGCUGGGC